AGCUAUAUGAAUUUUUAUUUAGUGAUUUCUGCCCGGUGAAAUUUUAACGGCCGCAGUACUUUGACUGUGCUAAGGUAGCAUAAUCAAUUGACUUUUAAUUGAAGUCUGGGAUGAAAGGAGAAUUGGGAAUAAACUGUUUCUAAAAAAAAUUUAUUAAAUUAUUAAUAAGGUGAAAAUACCUUAAAUUAAAAAAAAGACGAGAAGACCCUUAGAGUUUUUUUGUUGGGGUGACAAGUAAGCUAACCUUACUUCAAAUAAGAAAAAACUACCUAAGGGAUAACAGCAUAAUUUUUUUUUUAGAUUAUGACCUCGAUGUUGGACUAGGAAUAUUAUAACUAGAAGUUAAAUUUAUUAGUUCUGUUCGAACUUUUUCUCCU
This 377-nucleotide ribosomal RNA is filed under the name Discartemon afthonodontia. RNAcentral describes it as "partial large subunit ribosomal RNA". It matches the Rfam family "Bacterial large subunit ribosomal RNA", at positions 1832 to 2596 of the family's 2925-position model. The record is from RNAcentral. Lineage: Eukaryota; Metazoa; Mollusca; Gastropoda; Stylommatophora; Streptaxidae.